UAAGCGAAGUAUGAAAUCUUAGGGCUCAACCCUGAAAUUGUGCUUCGAACUGAAAGACUAGAGUAUGGUAGAGGUAAUUGGAAUUUCUAGUGUAGGAGUGAAAUCCGUAGAUAUUAGAAGGAACACCAAUGGCGUAGGCAGAUUACUGGACCAUUACUGACACUGAGGCACGAAAGCGUGGGGAGCGAACGGGAUUAGAUACCCCGGUAGUCCACGCCGUAAACGAUGGAUGCUA
RNAcentral lists this ribosomal RNA (235 nucleotides) under uncultured Candidatus Saccharibacteria bacterium. RNAcentral describes it as "partial 16S ribosomal RNA". It matches the Rfam family "Bacterial small subunit ribosomal RNA", at positions 584 to 818 of the family's 1533-position model. Lineage: Bacteria; Candidatus Saccharimonadota. The record is from RNAcentral.